This 374-nucleotide long non-coding RNA is filed under the name Equus caballus (horse). Its description in RNAcentral is "lncRNA (ENSECAG00000057066.1)". The record is from RNAcentral. Lineage: Eukaryota; Metazoa; Chordata; Mammalia; Perissodactyla; Equidae.
GAGCUAAACCAACUCAGACAUACGCUGGAGAAGGAGGAGCAGCGUGUAGGAGUUAGGAAACUCAAGUUCAAGGUGCAGAGCUGUCCCAUAUGAGUCCUGAGCCCUCAGAAGAGAGAGAGAAUGUUAAACACGGACUUCCUGAGCACCAGCCCUAGAUUCAUGGCCAAACAUCAUCCCUGGUGGCUCAAGAAUCACCUCCAACACAUUAUUUCUUUUAGAAAAUGCCUUCCAGUUCUCACAUGGGAUUCCAGUCUCUUUUUCCGGAGCAAAGGCUGCAGGGGCUCCUGGGUCUCCCCACAGUUCCGAGAUGACAGAAGUCCAUCUGCUAUUCCCAGUACCUGGUUUCCUUCCUUCUCUGGCUCCUAAGCCUUGGG